CAAUGGCUGCCACUGGCUUAUU
This 22-nucleotide non-coding RNA is filed under the name Arabidopsis thaliana (thale cress). The record is from RNAcentral. Lineage: Eukaryota; Viridiplantae; Streptophyta; Magnoliopsida; Brassicales; Brassicaceae.